This 357-nucleotide ribosomal RNA is filed under the name Triticum aestivum (bread wheat). Its description in RNAcentral is "partial small subunit ribosomal RNA". Lineage: Eukaryota; Viridiplantae; Streptophyta; Magnoliopsida; Poales; Poaceae. The record is from RNAcentral.
AUGGAGACAGUGGAAGCGGAGAGAACCACCUUGCCUGCCAAUUUCUCCAUGCAAGAAGCAGUAGCAAUGGGGGACGCCGCAAGAGGAGCCGUGCAGCUGCCGUGCGACGUCAACGACGGGAGGUGGGUAUGGGACGAGAGCUACCCGCUCUACGACGGCAGUUCCUGCCCGUUCAUCGACGACGGUUUCAUCUGCCAGGCGAACGGGAGGGCGGACCAGAGCUACACCAAGUGGAGGUGGCAGCCAACGCACUGCAGUGUCCCAAGGUGCUGCAUUACGAGUUUACCAGAGAUUUCAGCACUUAUGUUUUGUACGUAUAUCGUGAACUUUUUUAUUUUAUACUCCUUCUGUUCCUAA